This 443-nucleotide ribosomal RNA is filed under the name uncultured Shewanellaceae bacterium. RNAcentral's name for it is "bacterial SSU rRNA". It matches the Rfam family "Bacterial small subunit ribosomal RNA", at positions 1088 to 1532 of the family's 1533-position model. The record is from RNAcentral. Lineage: Bacteria; Pseudomonadati; Pseudomonadota; Gammaproteobacteria; Alteromonadales; Shewanellaceae.
CGCACGAGCGCACCCCUAUCCUUAUUUGCCAGCACGUAAUGGUGGGAACUCUAGGGAGACUGCCGGUGAUAAACCGGAGGAAGGUGGGGACGACGUCAAGUCAUCAUGGCCCUUACGAGUAGGGCUACACACGUGCUACAAUGGCGUAUACAGAGGGUUGCAAAGCCGCGAGGUGGAGCUAAUCUCACAAAGUACGUCGUAGUCCGGAUCGGAGUCUGCAACUCGACUCCGUGAAGUCGGAAUCGCUAGUAAUCGUGGAUCAGAAUGCCACGGUGAAUACGUUCCCGGGCCUUGUACACACCGCCCGUCACACCAUGGGAGUGGGCUGCAAAAGAAGUGGGUAGUUUAACCUUCGGGAGAACGCUCACCACUUUGUGGUUCAUGACUGGGGUGGAGUCGUAACAAGGUAGCCCUAGGGGAACCUGGGGCUGGAUCACCUCCUU